UGGGGAAUAUUGCACAAUGGGGGAAACCCUGAUGCAGCGACGCCGCGUGAACGAAGAAGGUAUUCGUAUCGUAAAGUUCUGUCCUAUGGGAAGAUAAUGACAGUACCAUAGAAGAAAGCUCCGGCUAAAUACGUGCCAGCAGCCGCGGUAAUACGUAUGGAGCGAGCGUUGUCCGGAAUUAUUGGGCGUAAAGGGUACGCAGGCGGUUUAAUAAGUCGAAUGUUAAAGAUCGGGGCUCAACCCCGUAAAGCAUUGGAAACUGAUAAACUUGAGUAGUGGAGAGGAAAGGGAAAUUCCUAGUGUAGUGGUGAAAUACGUAGAUAUUAGGAGAAAUACCAGGUGCGAAGGCGACUUUCUGGACACAAACUGACGCUGAGGUACGAAGGCGUGGGGGGCAAAUAGG
This 403-nucleotide ribosomal RNA is filed under the name Bacteroidota bacterium. RNAcentral describes it as "Bacteroidetes bacterium partial 16S ribosomal RNA". It matches the Rfam family "Bacterial small subunit ribosomal RNA", at positions 355 to 776 of the family's 1533-position model. Lineage: Bacteria; Pseudomonadati; Bacteroidota. The record is from RNAcentral.